GGGCCCGUAGCUCAGCCUGGUUAGAGCGCCGGUCUUAUAUCCCGGAGCUUUUCAAGAGCUCGGGAUUUGAAAGUCCCUCCGGGCCCA
RNAcentral lists this transfer RNA (87 nucleotides) under archaeon. RNAcentral's name for it is "tRNA-Ile". It matches the Rfam family "tRNA". Rfam says of the family: Transfer RNA (tRNA) molecules are approximately 80 nucleotides in length. Their secondary structure includes four short double-helical elements and three loops (D, anti-codon, and T loops). Further hydrogen bonds mediate the characteristic L-shaped molecular structure. tRNAs have two regions of fundamental functional importance: the anti-codon, which is responsible for specific mRNA codon recognition, and the 3' end, to which the tRNAs corresponding amino acid is attached (by aminoacyl-tRNA synthetases). tRNAs cope with the degeneracy of the genetic code in two manners: having more than one tRNA (with a specific anti-codon) for a particular amino acid; and 'wobble' base-pairing, i.e. permitting non-standard base-pairing at the 3rd anti-codon position. The record is from RNAcentral.